GGAAUUUUGGGCAAUGGGCGAAAGCCUGACCCAGCAACGCCGCGUGUGGGAUGAAGGCCCUCGGGUCGUAAACCACUGUCAGGAGGAAAGAAAAGUCGGCCGGAUAAUACUCGGUCGACCUGACGGUACCCCCAAACGAAGCACCGGUCCACCCCGUGCCCGCCGCCGCGGUAAUACGGAGGGUGCAAGCGUUGUUCGGAAUUACUGGGCGUAAAGCGCGUGUAGGUGGUUCGGUAAGUCGAAUGUGAAAGCCCCGGGCUCAACCCGGGAAGUGCAUCCGAAACUGCCGAACUAGAGUCCCGGAGAGGAAGGCAGAAUUCCCAAUGUAGGGGUGAAAUCCGUAGAUAUUGGGAGGAAUACCGGUGGCGAAGGCGGCCUUCUGGACGGUGACUGACACUCAGACGCGAAAGCGUGGGGAGCAAACAGG
This 427-nucleotide ribosomal RNA is filed under the name uncultured bacterium. RNAcentral's name for it is "bacterial SSU rRNA". It matches the Rfam family "Bacterial small subunit ribosomal RNA", at positions 358 to 776 of the family's 1533-position model. The record is from RNAcentral.